This 491-nucleotide ribosomal RNA is filed under the name Pseudomonas sp. BF.67. RNAcentral describes it as "bacterial SSU rRNA". It matches the Rfam family "Bacterial small subunit ribosomal RNA", at positions 1 to 496 of the family's 1533-position model. Lineage: Bacteria; Pseudomonadati; Pseudomonadota; Gammaproteobacteria; Pseudomonadales; Pseudomonadaceae. The record is from RNAcentral.
UAGAGUUGAUCCAUGGCUCAGAUUGAACGCUGGCGGCAGGCCUAACACAUGCAAGUCGAGCGGUAGAGAGAAGCUUGCUUCUCUUGAGAGCGGCGGACGGGUGAGUAAUGCCUAGGAAUCUGCCUGGUAGUGGGGGAUAACGUUCGGAAACGRACGCUAAUACCGCAUACGUCCUACGGGAGAAAGCAGGGGACCUUCGGGCCUUGCGCUAUCAGAUGAGCCUAGGUCGGAUUAGCUAGUUGGUGAGGUAAUGGCUCACCAAGGCSACGAUCCGUAACUGGUCUGAGAGGAUGAUCAGUCACACUGGAACUGAGACACGGUCCAGACUCCUACGGGAGGCAGCAGUGGGGAAUAUUGGACAAUGGGCGAAAGCCUGAUCCAGCCAUGCCGCGUGUGUGAAGAAGGUCUUCGGAUUGUAAAGCACUUUAAGUUGGGAGGAAGGGCAGUUACCUAAUACGUAUCUGUUUGACGUACCGACAGAAAAGCACCGG